AUGACCUAUGAUUUGACAGACUGUGCUUUCUAAGUUUGUCUGUCAUUUCUGUAGGCCAAUA
Molecule: microRNA precursor, 61 nt
Filed under: Gekko japonicus
Lineage: Eukaryota; Metazoa; Chordata; Lepidosauria; Squamata; Gekkonidae
Description: Gja-Mir-192-P2_pre stem-loop
Rfam family: mir-192/215 microRNA precursor family
About the family: This family represents the human microRNA (miRNA) precursors mir-192 and mir-215. Animal miRNAs are transcribed as ~70nt precursors and subsequently processed by the Dicer enzyme to give a ~22nt product.
Source: RNAcentral